CCUACGGGUGGCAGCAGUGGGGAAUUUUGCGCAAUGCUCGUAAGAGUGACGCAGCGACGCCGCGUGAAUGACGAAGGCCUUCUGGUCGUAAAGUUCUUUCGACAGGGAAGAAAAUGCCUAUAAGUAACUGUGUAUGUAUUGACGGUACCUGUAUAAGCAGCCCCGGCUAACUCCGUGCCAGCAGCCGCGGUAAUACGGAGGGGGCGAGCGUUGUUCGGAAGGAAUGGGCGUAAAGAGCACGUAGGGGGGGUUGUAAGUCAUUAGUCAAAGACUAGAGCGCAACUUUAGUAGGGCUAGUGAUACUAUAGUACUAGAGUAUCAGAGAGGAAUGCAGAAUUCGUGGUGUAGCGGUGAAAUGCGGAGAUAUCAGGAGGAAUACCGUUAGCGAAGGCGGCAAUCUGGCUGGAAACUGACGCUGAGGUGCGAAAGCGUGGGUAGCAAACAGGAUUAGAUACCCUAGUAGUC
Molecule: ribosomal RNA, 465 nt
Filed under: uncultured bacterium
Lineage: Bacteria
Description: partial 16S ribosomal RNA
Rfam family: Bacterial small subunit ribosomal RNA
Source: RNAcentral